Cryptotermes secundus is the source of this 495-nucleotide long non-coding RNA. RefSeq lists it as uncharacterized. Lineage: Eukaryota; Metazoa; Arthropoda; Insecta; Blattodea; Kalotermitidae. The transcript is spliced from 5 exons. The record is from RefSeq and is a predicted model, not a curated record.
GAGCUUGUGUCUCCAUAUUUGAUAAGAUUCCUAAUGUAGGCGUCGUAAUUUGGUUAUUUCCAGACGUUCCAGACUCUGUAACCAAUCUUAGUCUUUGCUUUUGAAAUAAUUUAGGGAAUCUGAGAGGGAAAUGAUUGAAGAGAAGAAAUGUCAGGAAAAAGAAGGCAAAUGUGGAGCUUGGAAUUAAGUUGAGAUUGAGAUGAUGAAAAGUUUGGGCGUUGCGAGAGCUACAGUGGUCCGACCUCAGACUUCAAAGAAAAGGAGGGCUACAAACCAAAUGUUAAACUCGACUACACAGAUGAUGAUGGACACAUACUUAAUGCAAAGGAGGCUUUCAGAUACCUGUCUUGUGAAUUUCAUGGAAAGGGACCUGGCAAAAAUAAAGUGGAGAAACGAAUGAAGAAAACUGAACAGGAGGGAAUGAGCUCAACAGACACCCACUCGGAACACUUAGCCUCUUGCAGCAGAAGCAGAAAGAAAUGCAGUCUCCUCUCG